GCCGGAAUGGCUCAGUGGUAGAGCAUCUGUCUUGUAAAACCGCGAGGUUAGACGAGCUCAACAGAAGGUCCUGUGUUCGAUCCACAGUUUCGGCA
This 95-nucleotide transfer RNA is filed under the name Klebsormidium nitens. It matches the Rfam family "tRNA". From Rfam's summary of the family: Transfer RNA (tRNA) molecules are approximately 80 nucleotides in length. Their secondary structure includes four short double-helical elements and three loops (D, anti-codon, and T loops). Lineage: Eukaryota; Viridiplantae; Streptophyta; Klebsormidiophyceae; Klebsormidiales; Klebsormidiaceae. The record is from Rfam by way of RNAcentral.